Molecule: unclassified non-coding RNA, 373 nt
Filed under: soil metagenome
Description: partial contains 5.8S ribosomal RNA, internal transcribed spacer 2, and large subunit ribosomal RNA
Rfam family: 5.8S ribosomal RNA (bases 1-121)
Source: RNAcentral
GAUGAAGAACGUAGCGAAAUGCGAUAAGUAAUGCGAAUUGCAGAAUUCCAGUGAGUCAUCGAAUCUUUGAACGCACAUUGCGCCCUUUGGUAUUCCGAAGGGCAUGCCUGUUCGAGCGUCAUUAUCACCCCUCAAGCCCUCGGCUUGGUGUUGGACGGUUUGGUGGAGGCCCCCUCGGGGGCUCCUGCCCCUCCCAAAGACAAUGACGGCGGCCUCGUUGGACCCCCGGUACACUGACUUCUUCACGGGACACGUAUCGGACACAUGGGUUUACGGGACACGGUCUGCCUCCCCUCAGGGAGAAUCUUUCUAAGGUUGACCUCGGAUCAGGUAGGGAUACCCGCUGAACUUAAGCAUAUCAAUAAGCGGAGGA